UACAGAGGGUGCAAGCGUUGUUCGGAAUUAUUGGGCGUAAAGAGCGCGUAGGCGGUCCGAUAAGUCGGCUGUGAAAGUCAAGGGCUCAACCCUUGAAAGCCGGCCGAUACUGUCGGACUAGAGUCCGGAAGAGGCGAGUGGAAUUCCCGGUGUAGCGGUGAAAUGCGUAGAUAUUUGGAGGAACACCGGUGGCGAAGGCGGCAUCCUGGACCGGUAUUGACGCUGAGGCGCGAAAGCCAGGGGAGCAAACGGG
RNAcentral lists this ribosomal RNA (253 nucleotides) under uncultured bacterium. RNAcentral's name for it is "partial 16S ribosomal RNA". It matches the Rfam family "Bacterial small subunit ribosomal RNA", at positions 524 to 776 of the family's 1533-position model. The record is from RNAcentral.